AUGACACCAGAGUGCAGCUUUUUGCUUCAACGUUUGAUUGUUUUGCAAGGUUUCAGGAUGGGUUUAAAUAUUAAGAAGAAAAGGUUGUGGUUGGAGAAAAACAAGAAGUAUAUUUCAGAUGCUAGAAAUCAUUUAAAUGUGGAACUAUUACCAUGCAGUCAAAUUUCUGAACUUAGGAUUGUGAGUUUCUUUAUAUGCUAG
This 201-nucleotide long non-coding RNA is filed under the name Prunus dulcis (almond). Its description in RNAcentral is "sRNA ncRNA". The record is from RNAcentral. Lineage: Eukaryota; Viridiplantae; Streptophyta; Magnoliopsida; Rosales; Rosaceae.